ACACACGGGCACAUACACACACACACACGCAGCCACGUGGAGGAGCCGAUUUGGAAAUGUGCAUCCUGCAUGCUGAAUAUCUAGAUCCACAACACCACCACACACAUACGCAGCCCGCGAAGAGGGACGCGAAUGAUGGUCAGGACAUCAAACCCGUUAAGAGAGCCGAACAGAGCGAAUUUCGUGAGCAGGACAUGAGUAACAAGUUGUUGCACUGGUGGGUGGUGGGUGCGCGCGCGAGAGAGAGAGAGAGAGAAAGGUGAGAGUGGCGCUUUGCUCCGAUUGGUCGAGAAAAAGCGAG
Molecule: non-coding RNA, 301 nt
Organism: Drosophila melanogaster (fruit fly)
Lineage: Eukaryota; Metazoa; Arthropoda; Insecta; Diptera; Drosophilidae
Source: Ensembl